UACGUAGGUGGCAAGCGUUGUCCGGAUUUACUGGGCGUAAAGAGCGCGCAGGCGGUCGUUCAAGUCGCGUGUGAAAGCCCCCGGCUCAACUGGGGAGGGUCACGCGAUACUGAUCGACUCGAAGGCAGGAGAGGGUAGUGGAAUUCCCGGUGUAGUGGUGAAAUGCGUAGAUAUCGGGAGGAACACCAGUGGCGAAGGCGACUACCUGGCCUGUUCUUGACGCUGAGGCGCGAAAGCUAGAGGAGCAAACGGG
This 253-nucleotide ribosomal RNA is filed under the name uncultured bacterium. RNAcentral describes it as "partial 16S ribosomal RNA". It matches the Rfam family "Bacterial small subunit ribosomal RNA", at positions 524 to 776 of the family's 1533-position model. The record is from RNAcentral.